CGGAGGGAUCAUUACCGAGUUUACAACUCCCAAACCCCUGUGAACAUACCUAUACGUUGCCUCGGCGGAUCAGCCCGCGCCCCGUAAAACGGGACGGCCCGCCCGAGGACCCCUAAACUCUGUUUUUAGUGGAACUUCUGAGUAAAACAAACAAAUAAAUCAAAACUUUCAACAACGGAUCUCUUGGUUCUGGCAUCGAUGAAGAACGCAGCAAAAUGCGAUAAGUAAUGUGAAUUGCAGAAUUCAGUGAAUCAUCGAAUCUUUGAACGCACAUUGCGCCCGCCAGUAUUCUGGCGGGCAUGCCUGUUCGAGCGUCAUUUCAACCCUCAAGCUCAGCUUGGUGUUGGGACUCGCGGUAACCCGCGUUCCCCAAAUCGAUUGGCGGUCACGUCGAGCUUCCAUAGCGUAGUAAUCAUACACCUCGUUACUGGUAAUCGUCGCGGCCACGCCGUUAAACCCCAACUUCUGAAUGUUGACCUCGGAUCAGGUAGGAAUACCCGCUGAACUUAAGCAUAUCAAAGGCGGGGAGGAAA
RNAcentral lists this ribosomal RNA (533 nucleotides) under Fusarium sp. BAB-4586. RNAcentral's name for it is "eukaryotic LSU rRNA". The stretch from base 164 to 317 matches the Rfam family "5.8S ribosomal RNA". Lineage: Eukaryota; Fungi; Ascomycota; Sordariomycetes; Hypocreales; Nectriaceae. The record is from RNAcentral.